Molecule: small nuclear RNA, 107 nt
Filed under: Zalophus californianus (California sea lion)
Lineage: Eukaryota; Metazoa; Chordata; Mammalia; Carnivora; Otariidae
Also listed under: 2 other names
Source: RNAcentral
GUGCUCACUUCAGCAGAACAUAUCCUAAAAUUAGAAUGAUAUAAAGAAGUUUAGCAUGGCCCUUGCACAAGGAUGACACACAAAUUAAUGAAAUGUUCCAUAUUUUU